GCUGAAUACAACAGGUGUAGUAGACCUUACAGUGAAAUGCUGAAUACAACAGGUGUAGACCUUACAGUGACAUGCUGAAUACAACAGGUGUAGUAGACCUCACAGUGACAUGCUGAAUACAACAGGUGUAGUAGACCUCACAGUGACAUGCUGAAUACAACAGGUGUAGUAGACCUCACAGUGACAUGCUGAAUACAACAGGUGUAGACCUUACAGUGAAAUGCUGAAUACAACAGGUGUAGUAGACCUUACAGUGAAAUGCUGAAUACAACAGGUGUAGUAGACCUUACAGUGAAAUGCUG
Long non-coding RNA from Oncorhynchus tshawytscha (Chinook salmon), 302 nucleotides. The record is from Ensembl. Lineage: Eukaryota; Metazoa; Chordata; Actinopteri; Salmoniformes; Salmonidae.